This is an RNA transcript of Nycticebus coucang (slow loris), 876 nucleotides long. It is a transcript of the gene named 40S ribosomal protein S2-like, with no coding region annotated. Lineage: Eukaryota; Metazoa; Chordata; Mammalia; Primates; Lorisidae. The transcript has a single exon. The record is from RefSeq and is a predicted model, not a curated record.
AUGGCGGAUGACGCCCUGGUGCAUCGGGAGGGUCUGGAGGCCCCGGGGGGCCUGGAAUGGGAGACCGUGGUGGUUUCCAUGGAGGCUUCAGCAGCGGCAUCCGGGGCCAGGGUCAAGGCCGAGGCCACGGAGCUUGCGGAGGCAAGGCCGAGGACAAAGAGUGGAUGCCCGUCACCAAGCUGGGUCGCCUGGUCAAGGACAUGAAGAUCAAAAUCCCUGGAGGAGAAUCUGAGAUCACUGAUUUUUUUCUUGGGGGCAUCUCUCAAGGAUAAAGUUUUGAAGAUUAUGCUAGUGCAAAAACAGACCUGCGCUGGCCAGCGGACCAGGUUCAAGGCGUUUGUUGCCAUUGGGGACUACAAUGGCCAUGUAGGUCUGGGUGUUAAGUGUUCCAAGGAAGUAGCCACUGCCAUCCAAGGGGCCAUCAUCCUGGCCAAGCUCUCUAUUGUCCCAGUGUGGAGAGGCUACUGGGGGAAUAAGAUCGGCAAGCCUCACACUGUUUCUUGUAAGGUGACAGGCCACUGUGGCUCUGUGCUGGUGCGUCUCAUCCCUGCUCCUAGAGGAGCUGGCACUGUCUCACCGCCUGUGCCUAAGAAGCUGCUAAUGACGGCUGGGAUCGAUGACUGCUACACUUCAGCCAGGGGCUGCACUGCCCUGGGCACCUUGGCCAAGGCCACUUUUGAUGCCAUUUCCAAGACCUACAGCUAUCUCACUCCUGACCUCUGGAAAGAGACAGUGUUCACCAUGUCUCCUUACCAAAAAUUCACUGACCAUCUUGUCAAGACCCACACCAGAGUCUCUGUGCAGAGGACCCAGGCUCCAGCUGUGGCUACAACAUAGGGUUUUUAUACAAUAAUAAUAAAGUGAAUUAAGUCUGUU